RNAcentral lists this ribosomal RNA (685 nucleotides) under uncultured Ceratobasidiaceae. RNAcentral describes it as "eukaryotic LSU rRNA". The stretch from base 233 to 386 matches the Rfam family "5.8S ribosomal RNA". The record is from RNAcentral. Lineage: Eukaryota; Fungi; Basidiomycota; Agaricomycetes; Cantharellales; Ceratobasidiaceae.
AAAAGUCGUAACAAGGUUUCCGUAGGUGAACCUGCGGAAGGAUCAUUAUUGAAUGAAUUAAGAGUUGGUUGUUGCUGGCCUUCCGGGGCAUGUGCACACCUUCUCUUUCAUCCACACACACCUGUGCACUUGUGAGACAGGGAGGGCCUUUAUUGGCUUUUUCCUGUCUAUUUUACACAAACUCAUUUAUUUUAAACUGAAUGUAAUUGAUGUAACACAUCAUUUAAAUACUAAGUUUCAACAACGGAUCUCUUGGCUCUCGCAUCGAUGAAGAACGCAGCGAAAUGCGAUAAGUAAUGUGAAUUGCAGAAUUCAGUGAAUCAUCGAAUCUUUGAACGCACCUUGCGCUCCUUGGUAUUCCUUGGAGCAUGCCUGUUUGAGUAUCAUGAAAUUCUCAAAGUAAACCUUUUGUUAAUUCAAUUGGUUCUGCUUUGGACUUGGAGGUCUUUUGCGGAUUAACAUCUGCUCCUCUUAAAUUUAUUAGCUGGAUCUCAGUAUAUGCUUGGUUCCACUCGGCGUGAUAAGUUAUCACUCGCUGAGGACACUGUAAAAGGUGGCCAGGAAAUACAGAUGAACCGCUUCUAAUAGUCUAUUAAAUUAGACAAUUAAUUUUAAGAUCUGAUCUCAAAUCAGGUAGGACUACCCGCUGAACUUAAGCAUAUCAAUAAGCGGAGGAAAAGAAACU